This 2094-nucleotide ribosomal RNA is filed under the name human gut metagenome. RNAcentral describes it as "bacterial LSU rRNA". It matches the Rfam family "Bacterial large subunit ribosomal RNA", at positions 213 to 2290 of the family's 2925-position model. The record is from RNAcentral.
GAGGAACAGUAAUCAAACGAGAUUUUCUUAGUAGCGGCGAGCGAACGGGAAAGAGGCCAAACCGGAGCGGGCAACCGCACCGGGGUUGAGGACAGUCAUCAAGUGUAAAUGAGGUAGAAGAAUCGAGCUGGAAAGCUCAGCCGCAGAAGGUGAAAGCCCUGUAAUCGAAACCUUGCAUACAUGGGACUGUAUCCAGAGUACCACGAGACACGUGAAACCUUGUGGGAAGCAGGGGGGACCACCCUCCAAGCCAAAAUACUGAUAUCGACCGAUAGCGCAUAGUACCGUGAGGGAAAGGUGAAAAGAACCCCUGGCGGGGAGUGAAAGAGAACCUGAAACCGUAUGUCUACAAACAGUCGAAGUCUGUAUAUAUAUCAGGACGACGGCGUGCCUAUUGAAGAAUGAACCGACGAGUUACUGUUGCUAGCGAGGUUAAGUGGAAAACAUGGAGCCGCAGCGAAAGCGAGUCUGAACAGGGCGUUCAGUUAGUAAUAGUAGACCCGAAACCGUAGUGAUCUAUCCAUGGCCAGGUUGAAGCACAGGUAAAAUUGUGUGGAGGACCGAACUCGUGAGCGUUGAAAAGCUUUGGGAUGAGUUGUGGAUAGGGGUGAAAUGCCAAUCGAACACGGAGAUAGCUGGUUCUCCCCGAAAUAGCUUUAGGGCUAGCCUCGAGGUAGAGAGUAUAGGCGGUAGAGCACUGAUCGGGCUAGGGGCCAUACCGGUUACCGAACCUAGUCAAACUACGAAUGGCUAUACUUAUACUCGGGAGUCAGACAGUGAAUGAUAAGGUCCAUUGUCAAGAGGGAAACAGCCCAGAACACCGACUAAGGUCCCCAAUGUUACACUAAGUGGCGAAGGAUGUGGAAUUUCCAAAACAACCAGGAUGUUGGCUUAGAAGCAGCCACCAUUUAAAGAGUGCGUAAUAGCUCACUGGUCGAGAGACUCUGCGCCGAAAAUGUCCGGGGCUAAAGUGUAAAACCGAAGUCGUGUCAUAUGCAGCAAUGUAUAUGGGUAGGGGAGCGUUCUCAUCGGGCUGAAGCAGUACCGUAAGGAGUUGUGGACUGAUGAGAAGUGAGAAUGUCGGUAUGAGUAGCGAAAAGAAUGGUGAGAAUCCAUUCCACCGAAAGCCUAAGGGUUCCUGAGCAACGAUCGUCGUCUCAGGGUAAGUCGGGACCUAAGCCGAGGCGGAAAAGCGUAGGCGAUGGACAACAGGUUGAAAUUCCUGUACCGGUGUGAAUCGUUUGAUCGAUGGAGUGACACAGUAAGGUAGGUCAGCACGCGAUUGGAAGAGCGUGUUUAAGCAGGUAGGUUGAGCUAUAGGCAAAUCCGUAGCUCUAAAAGCUGAGAUGUGAUGACGAGUGACUAGCAAUAGUCGCGAAGUGAUUGAUCCUACACUGUCGAGAAAAGCUUCUAGGUAGAGACACAUCGCCCGUACCAAAACCGACACAGGUAGGCGGGGAGAGAAUCCUAAGGUGCGCGGGAAAACCCUCGUUAAGGAACUCGGCAAAAUGCCUCCGUAACUUCGGGAAAAGGAGGACUCAUGUAGUGUGAAGAGCAGAAGCGCUUGGAGCAUGAAUGAGUGGCACAAGAGAGGCGCAAGCGACUGUUUACCACAAACACAGGUGCCUGCUAAAGCGAAAGCUGAUGUAUAGGUGCUGACACCUGCCCGGUGCUGGAAGGUUAAGAGGAGGGGUUAGACUUCGGUCGAAGCUCUGAAUUGAAGCCCCAGUAAACGGCGGCCGUAACUAUAACGGUCCUAAGGUAGCGAAAUUCCUUGUCGGGUAAGUUCCGACCCGCACGAAAGGUGUAACGACUUGCGCACUGUCUCAACGAGGGACCCGGUGAAAUUGAAGUACCUGUGAAGAUGCAGGUUACCCGCGACUGGACAGAAAGACCCCAUGGAGCUUUACUGCAACCUAAGAUUGAACUUAGUUAAUGAAUGUACAGGAUAGGUGGGAGACGUAGAACCUAGGACGCCAGUUUUAGGGGAGUCGCUGUUGGGAUACCACCCUUUCAUUAAUUGAUUUCUAACGGGCCGAGUAACGACCGGCCGGACAGUCUUAGGCGGGCAGUUUGACUGGGGCGGUCGCCUCC